UACGUAGGGGGCUAGCGUUGUCCGGAUUUAUUGGGCGUAAAGAGCGUGUAGGCGGCCAGGUAGGUCCGGUGUGAAAACUCGAGGCUUAACCUCGAGAUGUCAUCGGAAACCAUCUGGCUAGAGUCCGGAAGAGGAAAGUGGAAUUCCUGGUGUAGCGGUGAAAUGCGCAGAUAUCAGGAGGAACACCAGUGGCGAAGGCGGCUUCCUGGCCUGUUCUUGACGCUGAGGCGCGAAAGCUAGGGGAGCAAACGGG
RNAcentral lists this ribosomal RNA (253 nucleotides) under uncultured bacterium. RNAcentral describes it as "partial 16S ribosomal RNA". It matches the Rfam family "Bacterial small subunit ribosomal RNA", at positions 524 to 776 of the family's 1533-position model. The record is from RNAcentral.